GGUAAGUUAAUUGGAUGUUUUUCUGUACUUCCAUACCUUCCCUUACAAAACUCUGGCUUAAUCUAAUCCACUUAUAUAAUCUGUACUUCCCAGUUACCUACCAGACAUUGAUAUUCUUCCUGUGGUAGAAUUAUCAUAGGUAGUUCCCUAUCCGUAGCAGUGCCUACUGUCACUGCCCAGGUUGUAUCAGGUUUGCAUUUCGUGCUUGAACUAUAGCUGGUUUUCACUGAGCACAGCUCUUGGCCCUUCAUGUUCUCCAGAUAAUAGAAUCCUAAUAUGUUCCAUUGAUACUCAGUGCCAUGCAUUAUCUGAAGAGAUUUUCCCCCAAAACAGAUGUAUUAUGUCUGUCCUUGCGGGGGUUCUGGUCCCUGUGUCAGUCUUAACUCUCAUGAAUAUAGAGGUAGUGUUAAGAGGCCAGAACCCUAGGGACGCUUUAAAUUCACUUCCCAGCCUAUUUAAUGUCCAUUGAGUAGUUCUGGUGGUCAGGAAGGUGGUUGUCUUCUUUUGCUUAGCAGGGGGUAUUUGAGCAGGAGGAGGCUUAUGCUUUGCCGAGACUAGAGUCACAUCCUGACACAACUCUUGUCCUGGUGUGCUAGAGUACUCGAAGAGAAUCUACUGGUCUUGAUUCACUGGUGGGGGCAGUCGGUGCCCCCGUUAGUGCCCAGAUCAGAAACAUACAUACCCUGCCUAGGGAUUUAGAAAGUGGGUUGGCAGUCUUUCCUCACGCCCAUCACGCAGUUGGUACCUACUACAGUGUAUUGUAAACUUUUUUCUCUGUUCU
RNAcentral lists this long non-coding RNA (781 nucleotides) under Homo sapiens (human). Its description in RNAcentral is "HSALNT0171782". The stretch from base 548 to 678 matches the Rfam family "Small nucleolar RNA SNORA3/SNORA45 family". Lineage: Eukaryota; Metazoa; Chordata; Mammalia; Primates; Hominidae. The record is from RNAcentral.